UGGCUGGCCGGUCCGCCUCACACGCGAGUACUGGUCCGGCUGGACCUUUCCUUCUGGGGAACCUCAUGGCCUUCACUGGCUGUGGGGGGAACCAGGACUUUUACUGUGAAAAAAUUAGAGUGUUCAAAGCAGGCCUUUGCUCGAAUACAUUAGCAUGGAAUAAUAGAAUAGGACGUGCGGUUCUAUUUUGUUGGUUUCUAGGACCGCCGUAAUGAUUAAUAGGGAUAGUCGGGGGCGUCAGUAUUCAGCUGUCAGAGGUGAAAUUCUUGGAUUUGCUGAAGACUAACUACUGCGAAAGCAUUCGCCAAGGAUGUUUUCAUUAAUCAGGGAACGAAAGUUAGGGGAUCGAA
RNAcentral lists this ribosomal RNA (350 nucleotides) under uncultured eukaryote. Its description in RNAcentral is "SSU rRNA". It matches the Rfam family "Eukaryotic small subunit ribosomal RNA", at positions 648 to 1002 of the family's 1831-position model. The record is from RNAcentral.